Molecule: ribosomal RNA, 497 nt
Filed under: uncultured bacterium
Lineage: Bacteria
Description: partial 16S ribosomal RNA
Rfam family: Bacterial small subunit ribosomal RNA
Source: RNAcentral
GAUGAACGCUGGCGGCGUGCCUAAUACAUGCAAGUAGAACGCUGAAGGAAGGAGCUUGCUCUUUCCGGAUGAGUUGCGAACGGGUGAGUAACGCGUAGGUAACCUGCCUGGUAGCGGGGGAUAACUAUUGGAAACGAUAGCUAAUACCGCAUAACAGUAGAUGUUGCAUGAUAUCUACUUAAAAGGUGCAAUUGCACCACUACCAUAUGGACCUGCGUUUUAUUAGCUAGUUGGUGAGGUAACGGCUCACCAAGGCGAAGAUACAUAGCCGACCUGAGAGGGUGGUCGGCCAAACUGGGACUGAGAAAAGGCCCAGACUCCUACGGGAGGGAGCAGUAGGGAAUCUUCGGAAAUGGACGGAAGUCUGACCGAGCAAAGCCGCGUGAGUGAAGAAGGUUUUCGGAUCGUAAAGCUCUGUUGUAAGAGAAGAACGAGUGUGAGAGUGGAAAGUUCACACUGUGACGGUAUCUUACCAGAAAGGGACGGCUAACUACGUG